This 429-nucleotide ribosomal RNA is filed under the name Acidobacteriota bacterium. Its description in RNAcentral is "Acidobacteria bacterium partial 16S ribosomal RNA". It matches the Rfam family "Bacterial small subunit ribosomal RNA", at positions 355 to 776 of the family's 1533-position model. The record is from RNAcentral. Lineage: Bacteria; Pseudomonadati; Acidobacteriota.
UGGGGAAUUUUGGACCAUGGGGGAAACCCUGAUCCAGCCAUCCCGCGUGUGCGAUGAAGGCCUUCGGGUUGUAAAGCACUUUUGGCAGGAAAGAAACGUCAUGGGUUAAUACCCCGUGAAACUGACGGUACCUGCAGAAUAAGCACCGGCUAACUACGUGCCAGCAGCCGCGGUAAUACGUAGGGUGCAAGCGUUAAUCGGAAUUACUGGGCGUAAAGCGUGCGCAGGCGGAUCGGAAAGAAAGAUGUGAAAUCCCAGAGCUCAACUUUGGAACUGCAUUUUUAACUACCGGGCUAGAGGGUGUCAGAGGGAGGUGUAAUUCCGCGUGUAGCAGAGAAAUGCGUAGAUAUGAGGAGGAACACCGAUGGCGAAGGCAGCCUCCUGGGAUAACACUGACGCUCAUGCACGAAAGCGUGGGGAGCAAACAGG